Molecule: ribosomal RNA, 549 nt
Filed under: Klebsiella pneumoniae
Lineage: Bacteria; Pseudomonadati; Pseudomonadota; Gammaproteobacteria; Enterobacterales; Enterobacteriaceae
Description: partial 23S ribosomal RNA
Rfam family: Bacterial large subunit ribosomal RNA
Source: RNAcentral
GGGUUGUGAGGUUAAGCGACUAAGCGUACACGGUGGAUGCCCUGGCAGUCAGAGGCGAUGAAGGACGUGCUAAUCUGCGAAAAGCGUCGGUAAGGUGAUAUGAACCGUUAUANCCGGCGAUGUCCGAAUGGGGAAACCCAGUGUGAUUCGUCACACUAUCGUUAACUGAAUACAUAGGUUAACGAGGCGAACCGGGGGAACUGAAACAUCUAAGUACCCCGAGGAAAAGAAAUCAACCGAGAUUCCCCCAGUAGCGGCGAGCGAACGGGGAGCAGCCCAGAGUCUGAAUCAGCUUGUGUNUUAGUGGAACGGUCUGGAAAGUCCGACGGUACAGGGUGAUAGUCCCGUACACCAAAAUGCACAGGCUGUGAACUCGAAGAGUAGGGCGGGACACGUGGUAUCCUGUCUGAAUAUGGGGGGACCAUCCUCCAAGGCUAAAUACUCCUGACUGACCGAUAGUNAACCAGUACCGUGAGGGAAAGGCGAAAAGAACCCCGGCGAGGGGAGUGAAAAAGAACCUGAAACCGUGUACGUACAAGCAGUGGGAGC